AAGUGUUACAGCACUUUUAGAAUUUGUCUAGCAGAUUUUCUGGUUUUAACCAGACCCC
RNAcentral lists this small nuclear RNA (58 nucleotides) under Carlito syrichta (Philippine tarsier). RNAcentral's name for it is "U7 small nuclear RNA (ENSTSYG00000019954.2)". It matches the Rfam family "U7 small nuclear RNA". From Rfam's summary of the family: Animal histone pre-mRNAs are spliced by a different mechanism than nuclear pre-mRNAs and self-splicing introns. This processing involves the U7 snRNP, which contains only one RNA species: U7. Lineage: Eukaryota; Metazoa; Chordata; Mammalia; Primates; Tarsiidae. The record is from Rfam by way of RNAcentral.